RNAcentral lists this unclassified non-coding RNA (343 nucleotides) under soil metagenome. RNAcentral's name for it is "partial contains 5.8S ribosomal RNA, internal transcribed spacer 2, and large subunit ribosomal RNA". The stretch from base 1 to 120 matches the Rfam family "5.8S ribosomal RNA", at positions 35 to 154 of the family's 154-position model. The record is from RNAcentral.
GAUGAAGAACGUAGCGAAAUGCGAUAAGUAAUGUGAAUUGCAGAAUCCAGUGAAUCAUCGAAUCUUUGAACGCACAUUGCGCCCGCCAGCAUUCUGGCGGGCAUGCCUGUUCGAGCGUCAUUUCAACCCUCGACCUCCCUUUGGGGAAGUCGGCGUUGGGGACCGGCAGCACACCGCCGGCCCUGAAAUGGAGUGGCGGCCCGUCCGCGGCGACCUCUGCGUAGUAAUCCAACUCGCACCGGAACCCCGGCGCGGCCACGCCGUAAAACACCCAACUUCUGAACGUUGACCUCGAAUCAGGUAGGACUACCCGCUGAACUUAAGCAUAUCAAUAAGCGGAGGA